Lagopus leucura (white-tailed ptarmigan) is the source of this 385-nucleotide long non-coding RNA. RefSeq lists it as uncharacterized. Lineage: Eukaryota; Metazoa; Chordata; Aves; Galliformes; Phasianidae. The record is from RefSeq and is a predicted model, not a curated record. The transcript has 3 exons.
UCACAACAGGAAACAGUUCUAAGGUAGUAGCUGUCCUCAGCCCAGCUAAGAAUAUCAUCAUUACUGUGGCUUUGUGCACUUUGAGUCAGAGGACCUACUAUGCUGACCCUGAACAUCACAAGAGAGGACAAAACAUAAAAUUAGGAGAGUUGAGGAACAGUUUUGAUUUUUAUGGCAAAGCAGUAUUUCUCCCGGACCACUGUUGUUAAAGUCGGAAAAAAAGGAGAGUACAAAUGAGGGAACUGAAGAAAUCAAGCCUGAAGAGUAAAACGUCAAACAAUAUUUUGCUAAGCAAUGACCAGUGGAGAAGGCCCAUGGAAACAUCAAUACAGGUCAUGCAAAGUGAUACGCACCCAGCCCUGCAAUUUGUGAUUCAGAAGCUUCC